GAUGAACGCUGGCGGCGUGCCUAAUACAUGCAAGUCGAGCGAAAAGAGGCGGCGAGUUCUUGACGGAUGGUAGAGGGGGACGGGAGAGUAAGAAAUGGGUAACGUACCUGUAAGAAAGUAAUAAAAUCAGGAAACAAGAGCUAAUACGGGAUAAGAAGUUGAACCGGAUGGUUUAAGAGUGCAAGAGAGUGUUGCUGUCAAUUAUAGAUGAAUCCGUGCGGGAUUAGCUAGUUGGUAAGGUAAAGGCUUACCAAGGCAACGAUGCGUAGCAGAGCUGAGAGGAUGACCAGCCACACUGGGACUGAGACACGGUCCAGACUCCUACGGGAGGCAGCAGUAGGGAAUUUUCCACAAUGGGCGAAAGCCUGACCCAGCAACGCCGCGUGCAGGAAGAAGGCCUUCGGAUCGUAAACUUCUUUUAUUCGGGACGAACAGAUUCUUAUUUAUCUCUGCGCGUCUUGACGGUACCUAAUCAAAAAGCCCCGGCUAACUACGUG
This 497-nucleotide ribosomal RNA is filed under the name uncultured bacterium. RNAcentral's name for it is "partial 16S ribosomal RNA". It matches the Rfam family "Bacterial small subunit ribosomal RNA", at positions 28 to 507 of the family's 1533-position model. The record is from RNAcentral.